CCUGGGUGGAGAGAGGCACUGUGAGAGUAAAGUGUCUUGCUCAAGAACACGACACAAUGUCCCCGGCCAGGGUUCUAACCCGGACCGUGCAAUCUCGAGGCGAGUGUGCUAGCUAUUGGGCCAUCGCACCUCCACGAGAAGAAAGAUGACAGCUGCCUUUCUCAUUCAACCACCCCGCUUAACCGUAACGGUGACAAAAUGAUUGCGAAUCGGUUAACUAGCUGUGCAUUGUUUUCAAUUCCAGGUUGUCAGAUAACAAAUGCAUCAUCGAAUAUAUCGAUACAGUUUUAUCUUGAGGCCAGUUAUUUGCAUCAAGAAAACGGAGCUUCUGUUUCGGAACUGACUGGCAUUCCACUGUAGACGGGAACAACGUUAGGGACAAAAAGUGUGUUGGUGUCCCGUCUUGGAUAAAGGCCCACCCGAUUUGAUCUGAAGGCCCAUAUUCGGCCCAUGGACAUUGCGGGAGAGUAAUGCCCUAGUGUUAGCCAAUCAAGGCGCGCGUUAUAUCGGCUACAAACGCUAGUCAUAUAAUGAAGAUUUAACUCCGUGCUUUGAAUACAAAUCAUGCUAGCGUACACUUUGGCAAGUACCACUUCCUUAUUUCGAAACGUGUGUGGAAUAUCAAGUGCUCACAAGAUAACACUGUAUAGUGUCUACAGACAAACGUGUCUUCAAUAUAGUCGGACAUGAUCCGAAGCUGGGGCGGGAAAGUUUUCGACGCGAAAAGAAAGCGUGAAAGUAAACGUAAUCCAUGUGCAAGACAGGAUCGGACCGACAUCCAAAGGUCUAAGUUUAAAAAACAAACUAUACCAGAAAUGUUCUCAACUGAACCUUGUACCUCCUGGAGUUAGAACAUGUAGGUAGUUCUUUUUCUGCAGUUCUAUAAUUCCGUGGAAGUCAUAGAAGUGACCACUGAAAUACUGUAAAGCCUAUUGCAAUUAGGAGAUAUUUCAUGUGGUAUAAUUGCCUGUUACACUGACCAGCAGAAAGAUAAUUCUUUGUUUGAAUUCUGAUUGGAGCACUCUAGUGCGUGACCUCUCAAAUAAAUGUUGUUAAGCAGCACUUUCAUGUGGUGCAGUUUAUUAUACUGUACAAAGUGGUUCGAACUUUUAUGAGUGUGGAUGAAAACCUAAUGUGUGUUUAUAAUUAUGCUGCACAAUGUGGUUCUAAGUCGUAAGUCUGUAAAUGAAUUCCCUGUGAGUGACCAAUCAAAUGAAAGCUACUGAGCAGUAGUUUCAUGUGGUACUGUUUAUUAUGCUGUACAAGGUGGUUCUAACUUUUAAGAGUGUGGAUGAAAACCUAGUUUGUGACCAUUCAAAUGAAAGCUAUUGAGCAGUACUUUCAUGUGGCACUGUUUAUUAUGCUAUUCAAGGUGGUUCUAAACUUAAAGUCUGUGGAUGAAACCCUAGUGUGUGACCAUUCACAAAGAUGCUAUUGAACAUUACUUUCAUUUGGAUACUGUUUAUUAUGCUGUACAAGGUGGUUCUAACUUUUAAGUCUGUGAUUGGUCAAUUUAGCGGGUCGUAAUCUACUGUACGGCCCGCUAAAAUUUAAAGCUGUUUUUGUUACCUAAAUGUUUCGCGGUUUAUCGACAAGUAUUCUUCACUUUUUUAGCAAGUAAGAGAA
This 1626-nucleotide long non-coding RNA is filed under the name Orbicella faveolata. RNAcentral's name for it is "uncharacterized LOC110042830, transcript variant X3". Lineage: Eukaryota; Metazoa; Cnidaria; Anthozoa; Scleractinia; Merulinidae. The record is from RNAcentral.